AUAAAAAAAUAGUUGUCAAUAUUUACAAUAUCAUAUCAUUUUUAUUAAAUGUAACAUUUAAUAUAUUUUGAUAAUAUGUUUCAUUUGAAUUGAAAAUAUUUUUCUAGUUUUCUAUAAAUUUAGUCAAACUUAUUUUUAUAAACUUAUGAAAAAAAUGAAUAUGGCUA
This 167-nucleotide small nuclear RNA is filed under the name Oryza sativa Indica Group (long-grained rice). Its description in RNAcentral is "U2 spliceosomal RNA". Lineage: Eukaryota; Viridiplantae; Streptophyta; Magnoliopsida; Poales; Poaceae. The record is from RNAcentral.